GCGUCAAAUAGACACAAGGAAUUACUACUCACCCGCAAUGGUUUGGCUACAAUCCCACUUUGACACCAAGCUGAAAGGUAAAUCUGCUACUCUGGUGACUCGAUCCCUCUGGUCAUUGUUCUCCAACCCUCGAUUGUCUACUGAAUAUUCAGGGAAGAAUUAUGGAAGAGUAAUAACGAGACACACACAAGUUGCUUUCCAA
Pelobates cultripes (western spadefoot toad) is the source of this 202-nucleotide non-coding RNA. NCBI's taxonomy places the organism in Eukaryota, Metazoa, Chordata, Amphibia, Anura, Pelobatidae. The record is from the annotation of a GenBank genome assembly.